UCGAACGCGAAAGGGUCCUUCGGGAUCUGAGUAGAGUGGCGUCCGGGUGAGUAACGCGUAGAUCAUCUACCUUCGGGUGGGGAAUAACUCAGGGAAACUUGAGCUAAUACCGCAUAGCAUCGAAAGAUCAAAGCAGGGGAUCGCAAGACCUUGCGCCUGAAGAGGAGUCUGCGUCUGAUUAGCUAGUUGGUAAGGUAAUGGCUUACCAAGGCUUCGAUCAGUAGCUGGUCUGAGAGGACGGCCAGCCACAUUGGCACUGAAACACGGGCCAAACUCCUACGGGAGGCAGCAGUGGGGAAUUUUGGGCAAUGGGCGAAAGCCUGACCCAGCAAUGCCGCGUGAACGAUGAAGUCCUUCGGGAUGUAAAGUUCGGAAGUAAGGAACGAAAAGCUGAGGGAUAAUACCCUUUAGUGCUGACGGUACCUUAUCUAAGCCCCGGCUAACUACGUGCCAGCAGCCGCGGUAAUACGUAGGGGGCAAGCGUUGUUCGGAAUUACUGGGCGUAAAGCGCGAUUAGGCGGUUUGAAAAGUCAGAUGUGAAAGCCCCGGGCUCAACUUGGGAACUGCAUUUGAUACUGUCAGACUAGAGUACAGAAGAGGUGACUGGAAUUCCCAGUGUAGCGGUGAAAUGCGUAGAUAUUGGGAGGAACACCAGAUGCGAAGGCGGGUCACUGGGCUGAUACUGACGCUGAUAUUGCGAAAGCCAGGGGAGCGAACGGGAUUAGAUACCCCGGUAGUCC
Molecule: ribosomal RNA, 740 nt
Filed under: uncultured bacterium
Lineage: Bacteria
Description: bacterial SSU rRNA
Rfam family: Bacterial small subunit ribosomal RNA
Source: RNAcentral